RNAcentral lists this ribosomal RNA (435 nucleotides) under uncultured bacterium. Its description in RNAcentral is "partial 16S ribosomal RNA". It matches the Rfam family "Bacterial small subunit ribosomal RNA", at positions 29 to 507 of the family's 1533-position model. The record is from RNAcentral.
AGCGAACGCUGGCGGCAGGCUUAACACAUGCAAGUCGAACGGGCAUAGCAAUAUGUCAGUGGCAGACGGGUGAGUAACGCGUGGGAACGUACCUUUUGGUUCGGAACAACACAGGGAAACUUGUGCUAAUACCGGAUAAGCCCUUACGGGGAAAGAUUUAUCGCCGAAAGAUCGGCCCGCGUCUGAUUAGCUAGUUGGUAGGGUAAUGGCCUACCAAGGCGACGAUCAGUAGCUGGUCUGAGAGGAUGAUCAGCCACAUUGGGACUGAGACACGGCCCAAACUCCUACGGGCGGCAGCAGUGGGGAAUAUUGGACAAUGGGCGAAAGCCUGAUCCAGCCAUGCCGCGUGAGUGAUGAAGGCCCUAGGGUUGUAAAGCUCUUUUGUGCGGGAAGAUAAUGACGGUACCGCAAGAAUAAGCCCCGGCUAACUUCGUG